AACGAUGUCAACUAGCCGUUGGGGUCUUUAAGACUUUAGUGGCGUAGCUAACGCGAUAAGUUGACCGCCUGGGGAGUACGGUCGCAAGACUAAAACUCAAAUGAAUUGACGGGGGCCCGCACAAGCGGUGGAGCAUGUGGUUUAAUUCGAUGCAACGCGAAGAACCUUACCUGGCCUUGACAUGUCUGGAAUCUUGUAGAGAUACGAGAGUGCCUUCGGGAAUCAGAACACAGGUGCUGCAUGGCUGUCGUCAGCUCGUGUCGUGAGAUGUUGGGUUAAGUCCCGCAACGAGCGCAACCCUUAUCCUUAUUUGCCAGCACGUAAUGGUGGGAACUCUAAGGAGACUGCCGGUGACAAACCGGAGGAAGGCGGGGGACGACGUCAAGUCAUCAUGGCCCUUACGGCCAGGGCUACACACGUGCUACAAUGGUCGGUACAAAGGGUUGCUAACCUGCGAAGGGGUGCUAAUCUCAAAAAGCCGAUCGUAGUCCAGAUUGGAGUCUGCAACUCGACUCCAUGAAGUCGG
Molecule: ribosomal RNA, 526 nt
Filed under: uncultured bacterium
Lineage: Bacteria
Description: bacterial SSU rRNA
Rfam family: Bacterial small subunit ribosomal RNA
Source: RNAcentral